UGGUUCUGGCAUNGAUGAAGAACGCAGCGAAAUGCGAUAAGUAAUGCGAAUUGCAGAAUUCCGUGAGUCAUCGAAUCUUUGAACGCACAUUGCGCCCUCUGGUAUUCCGGAGGGCAUGCCUGUUCGAGCGUCAUUAUCAACCCUCAAGCCCGGCUUGAUGUUGGACCUGGUCGCGAAAGCGACCGGUCCCAAAGAGAACGACGGCGUUGCGAGGACCCUCGGUACAAUGAGCUUUUCACGAAGCACGUACUGGAGCGGCCCCGGGACCCGGCCAUCUAUUUUUUUUUGUAAGGUUGACCUCGGAUCAGGUAGGGAUACCCGCUGA
This 325-nucleotide unclassified non-coding RNA is filed under the name uncultured fungus. RNAcentral describes it as "partial contains 5.8S ribosomal RNA and internal transcribed spacer 2". The stretch from base 1 to 133 matches the Rfam family "5.8S ribosomal RNA", at positions 22 to 154 of the family's 154-position model. Lineage: Eukaryota; Fungi. The record is from RNAcentral.